GACGAACGCUGGCGGCGUGCCUAACACAUGCAAGUCGAACGGAAAGGCCCUGCUUUUGUGGGGUUCCCGAGUGGCGAACGGGUGUGUAACCUGUGAGUAUCCUUCCCUUGACUUUGUGACAUCUUCAGGAAACCGGUGCUAAUACCGGAUAGGAGCUCCUGCUGCAUGGUGGGGGUUGGAAAGCACCGGCGGUUGGGGAUGGACGGUGGGGUUAUCAGCUUGUUGGUGGGGUAGUGGCCUACCAAGGCAUCGGUGGGUAGCCGGCCUGAGAGGGUGACCGGCGACAUGGGGACUGAGGGACGGCCCAGAGGCGAACGGGGGGCAGCAGUGGGGAAUAUUGCACAGUGGGCGGAAGCGUGAUGCGGAGACGCCGGGUGCGGAAUGAAGGCUUUGGGGUGGUAAAGGGCAUUAGCCUGUGACGAAGCGUGAGUGACGGUAAUAGGUGAAGAAGCACCGGCUAACUACGUG
This 468-nucleotide ribosomal RNA is filed under the name uncultured bacterium. RNAcentral describes it as "partial 16S ribosomal RNA". It matches the Rfam family "Bacterial small subunit ribosomal RNA", at positions 28 to 507 of the family's 1533-position model. The record is from RNAcentral.